AGGAUCCGGAGGGGGGAUCUUCAACACUCCGCAUGGAGAGCUUGAUAUCCCUCUGUAAGGACCCUGGGGCUCCCAGCGUUUACUGCGAACAAAUUAGAGUGUUUAAAGCAGGCAUAUAUACUGCAUGAAUAGAUAAGCAUGGGAUAAUAGAAUACGGUCUCCCCCUCCAUUUUGGUAAGAGGCGGGAGACAAUGAUUAAUAGGGGUAGUUGGGGAUAUGAGUAUUUUUUAGUUAGAGGUGAAAUUCUUGGAUUUGCGAAGGACUACCCGAUGCGAAAGCGCUUAUCCAGGAUGCUUUCAUUAAUCAAGAACGAAAGUUAAGGGAUCGAAGAUGAUCAGAUACCGUCGUAGUCUUAACCCUAAACUAUGCCGACCAGGGAUUAAGUGAUGUUAACAUGGAUGACUCCCCUAGCACCUUGUGAGAAAUCAUAAGUAGUGGCUCCGGGGGGAGUAUGGUCGCAAGGCUGAAACUUAAAGGAAUUGACGGAAAGGCACACCAGGAGUGGAGCCUGCGGUUCAAUUUGACUCAACGCGGGUAAACUUACCCAGACCAGACACAAUAAGGAUUGACAGAUUAAGAGCUCUUUCUUGAUUUUGUGAGUGGUGGUGCAUGGCCGAUCUUAGUUGGUGGAGUGAUUUGUCUGGUUUAUUCCGAUAACGAGCGAGACCGCAACCUACUAAAUAGUUCGAUCAAACGCCUACCGGUGAAGCGAGACGGCCUCGGUCGUCU
RNAcentral lists this ribosomal RNA (729 nucleotides) under uncultured eukaryote. Its description in RNAcentral is "bacterial SSU rRNA". It matches the Rfam family "Eukaryotic small subunit ribosomal RNA", at positions 673 to 1402 of the family's 1831-position model. The record is from RNAcentral.